GCAGCAGUAGGGAAUCUUCCACAAUGGGGGAAACCCUGACGCAGCGACGCNGCNUGCGGGAUGAAGGCCUUCGGGUUGUAAACCGCUUUCAGCAGGGACGAGGCCGCAAGGUGACGGUACCUGCAGAAGAAGCUCCGGCUAAAUACGUGCCAGCAGCCGCGGUAAUACGUAUGGAGCAAGCGUUAUCCGGAUUCAUUGGGCGUAAAGCGCUCGUAGGCGGUCUGUUAGGUCGGUNAGUUAAAUCCGGGGGCUCAACCCCCGUCCGCUUCCGAUACCGGCAGACUUGAGUUUGGUAGGGGAAGGUGGAAUUCCUAGUGUAGCGGUGGAAUGCGCAGAUAUUAGGAAGAACACCGGUGGCGAAGGCGGCCUUCUGGGCCAUAACUGACGCUGAGGAGCNAAAGCUAGGGGAGCGAACAGGAUUAGAUACCCUGGUAGUCCUAGCCGUAAACGAUGGACACUAGGNGUGGGGGGAUGUACCU
RNAcentral lists this ribosomal RNA (479 nucleotides) under uncultured Lactobacillus sp. Its description in RNAcentral is "bacterial SSU rRNA". It matches the Rfam family "Bacterial small subunit ribosomal RNA", at positions 348 to 838 of the family's 1533-position model. The record is from RNAcentral. Lineage: Bacteria; Bacillati; Bacillota; Bacilli; Lactobacillales; Lactobacillaceae.